RNAcentral lists this ribosomal RNA (743 nucleotides) under Capnocytophaga ochracea. Its description in RNAcentral is "bacterial SSU rRNA". It matches the Rfam family "Bacterial small subunit ribosomal RNA", at positions 28 to 776 of the family's 1533-position model. Lineage: Bacteria; Pseudomonadati; Bacteroidota; Flavobacteriia; Flavobacteriales; Flavobacteriaceae. The record is from RNAcentral.
GAUGAACGCUAGCGGCAGGCCUAACACAUGCAAGUCGAGGGAUAAGCUUUCGGGCUGAAACCGGCGUACGGGUGCGUAACGCGUAUACAAUCUGCCUUUCACUGGGGGAUAGCCCGAAGAAAUUUGGAUUAAUACCCCAUAGAAUAAUGAUAUGGCAUCAUAUUAUUAUUAAAGCUACGGUGGUGAAAGAUGAGUAUGCGUUCUAUUAGCUAGUUGGAGAGGUAACGGCUCCCCAAGGCAACGAUAGAUAGGGGUUCUGAGAGGGAUGUCCCCCACACUGGUACUGAGAUACGGACCAGACUCCUACGGGAGGCAGCAGUGAGGAAUAUUGGACAAUGGUCGGAAGACUGAUCCAGCCAUGCCGCGUGCAGGAUGAAGGUCUUAUGGAUUGUAAACUGCUUUUGCAGGGGAAGAAUAAGGACUACGAGUAGUUUGAUGACGGUACUCUGUGAAUAAGCAUCGGCUAACUCCGUGCCAGCAGCCGCGGUAAUACGGAGGAUGCGAGCGUUAUCCGGAAUCAUUGGGUUUAAAGGGUCUGUAGGCGGGCUGGUAAGUCAGAGGUGAAAGCGCUUAGCUCAACUAAGCAACUGCCUUUGAAACUGCUGGUCUUGAAUGGUUGUGAAGUAGUUGGAAUGUGUAGUGUAGCGGUGAAAUGCUUAGAUAUUACACAGAACACCGAUAGCGAAGGCAUAUUACUAACAAUUAAUUGACGCUGAUGGACGAAAGCGUGGGGAGCGAACAGG